Molecule: non-coding RNA, 132 nt
Organism: Triticum aestivum (bread wheat)
Lineage: Eukaryota; Viridiplantae; Streptophyta; Magnoliopsida; Poales; Poaceae
Source: Rfam
AUUGUACUCCCUCCGUUGCACAAUACAUGCCUUCUAUUUGUCAAAAUAUAUAUGUAUCUAGACAUGUUUUAGUAGGUACAUCCAUUUUUGGACAAAUGGAAGUCGAGUAUUUUGGAACGGAGGGAGUACACA